Molecule: ribosomal RNA, 77 nt
Filed under: Candidatus Ligilactobacillus excrementipullorum
Lineage: Bacteria; Bacillati; Bacillota; Bacilli; Lactobacillales; Lactobacillaceae
Description: partial 16S ribosomal RNA
Rfam family: Bacterial small subunit ribosomal RNA
Source: RNAcentral
UAAAAUGAGAGUUUGAUCCUGGCUCAGGACGAACGCUGGCGGCGUGCCUAAUACAUGCAAGUCGAACGCAAUCUUUU